This is a small nuclear RNA of Pipistrellus kuhlii (Kuhl's pipistrelle), 107 nucleotides long. NCBI's taxonomy places the organism in Eukaryota, Metazoa, Chordata, Mammalia, Chiroptera, Vespertilionidae. The record is from RefSeq and is a predicted model, not a curated record.
GUACUCGCUCUGGCAGCACAUAUACUGAAAUUGGAACAGUACAGAGAAGAUUAGCAUGGCCCCUAUGAAAGGAUGUCAGGCAACUUCGUGAAGCAGUCCAUUUAAAA